AUUGAACGCUGGCGGCAUGCCCUACACAUGCAAGUCGAACGGUAACGGGCCUUCGGGUGCCGACGAGUGGCGAACGGGUGAGUAAUACAUCGGAACGUGCCCGAUCGUGGGGGAUAACGAGGCGAAAGCUUUGCUAAUACCGCAUACGAUCUACGGAUGAAAGCAGGGGACCGCAAGGCCUUGCGCGGACGGAGCGGCCGAUGGCAGAUUAGGUAGUUGGUGGGAUAAAAGCUUACCAAGCCGACGAUCUGUAGCUGGUCUGAGAGGAUGAUCAGCCACACUGGGACUGAGACACGGCCCAGACUCCUACGGGAGGCAGCAGUGGAGAAUUUUGGACAAUGGGCGCAAGCCUGAUCCAGCCAUGCCGCGUGCAGGAUGAAGGCCUUCGGGUUGUAAACUGCUUUUGUACGGAACGAAAAGCCUUCUUUUAAUACAGGAGGGUCAUGACGGUACCGUAAGAAUAAGCACCGGCUAACUACGUG
This 482-nucleotide ribosomal RNA is filed under the name uncultured bacterium. Its description in RNAcentral is "partial 16S ribosomal RNA". It matches the Rfam family "Bacterial small subunit ribosomal RNA", at positions 30 to 507 of the family's 1533-position model. The record is from RNAcentral.